This 422-nucleotide ribosomal RNA is filed under the name uncultured eukaryote. Its description in RNAcentral is "bacterial SSU rRNA". It matches the Rfam family "Eukaryotic small subunit ribosomal RNA", at positions 592 to 1018 of the family's 1831-position model. The record is from RNAcentral.
CAAUAGCGUAUAUUAAAGUUGUUGCAGUUAAAAGCUCGUAGUCGGAUUUUGGCAUCACGCCGAACUGUCUGCCGAUUGGUAAGUACGGUUUGGCGGGUGCUUCCUUCCGGAGGCUCGUUCCCUUCUUCAUUGAAGGGUUCGUUGGUUCCGGGUCUUUUACUUUGAGAAAAUUAGAGUGUUCAAAGCAGGCAGCUCGCCUGAAUAAUGGUGCAUGGAAUAAUAGAAAAGGACCUCGGUUCUAUUUUGUUGGUUUCCGGAACUUGAGGUAAUGAUUAAGAGGGACAGACGGGGGCAUUCGUAUUACGGUGUUAGAGGUGAAAUUCUUGGAUCGCCGUAAGACGAACUACUGCGAAAGCAUUUGCCAAGAAUGUUUUCAUUAAUCAAGAACGAAAGUCAGAGGUUCGAAGACGAUUAGAUACCAU